Molecule: long non-coding RNA, 1634 nt
Filed under: Homo sapiens (human)
Lineage: Eukaryota; Metazoa; Chordata; Mammalia; Primates; Hominidae
Description: HSALNT0094857
Source: RNAcentral
CUGAGUUGGUUUGCUUACCUCAACGGUUUGUCCCUGUUUGGCGUGUGGCUCUGUUCAUAGGUCUGUAACUGUGUCUUUGCCCGUCAGUCUUCCUGUGACCCUGUGCUUUUCUCUCUUUCUCUCUCUCUCUCUGUCCCUGUCUCUGUCCCUCUGUCCCUGAGUGAUGUGAGGCCGGGCUGGGGGCAGUCGCAGCCGCGUCCUCUCUUGCCCUCAUUGGUUCGCAGCCGCUCCCCCGGGCAGCCGCCGCCAGUCCCGCCCCUCCCCCGAACCCCCGCCCGGGACACGAGCGCGCUCAGAGCCGCCAGAAAGCUCAGUCUCCUGCUCAAAACAGGAGCGCAGCAGCCGGAGGGAGUGGGGACAAGCUCGCUGAACACUGGGCGUCUCGACAGGGACCAGAGCCUGCAGGACUGUUCCGAGACGCUGCGGUGGCGGCGGCGCCGGAGGACGCGGAGGACUCCCUGGCCACCCGCCCUCCGUGCGCUCUGCCACCGGGCGCUCAGCAGAGACCCCGGGCUGCGGCUGCACUUGCUGAGUGCCUCUCCCCGCCGCCGCAGCCCAGAGGCGCCCAGCACCUGGAGCUCACUGGAGCUGAGGGUCCGAGCUGAGCGGGCUGUUGUAAAGCCGAAAGGCGAGUCAGUGACUGGGACCUCUGUCCUGGUGGCGACGGAGAGAAACAGUGAGCCCGAGGGGCGCGGGCACAGAACUGUCCAGCUCCGAGAACUGGGGUCCGCCAGCCGGCGGGGAAAGCAGCUGAGCGCGGAGGCGAGUGAGCGGACGCGUCCCGGGGUCUUUGCAGUCCCCGCCGGCCCCAAGGCACCGACUCUCGAGGGUCCAGUCGGGAAACCUUCCCGAAAGACGGCGGUCGGGUCGGGAAACCUUCCUGAAAGACGGCGCGCCAGCCCGUCUUGCUUGCUCGCCGCCUGCUGACUUCCUUACUUUGCACACGGAAGGGGCAGGAACCGCAAGCGUGCAACUAGCCUGGAGCUACCCGUCUGGACUCGCAGGCCCUGUGGCUGUUUCCCACAGCUGCUACGGCCUCUCUUGCUCCUUGACACCGAGGAGGACCCCACUAGGAUCCGAGCGUCGUGAACUCACCUGAACUUUGGAAGGUUGGCACUGGGGGGCCGCAUCCCCCUGGGAAAUGACUGAACGCGGGGUUUCAGUGGGUCCCGCCUGGGUCUAAGGACCCAGUUUCUUCUGUGAGCACGGGCAGUGGGAGGCCGGUGGAAAGGCGCAGGGGCCCACCUACGCGUCUCACAUCUUCAGGGGCGCAUUUCUACAAUAAAAACUCACCCAAUUAGACCUAGCGCUGAGAACGUGCUGCUUCACUUUCCAUGAGGACAAGAACAAUGAUUCCAGCCCUACUGCCCUGCCUACCAUAAAGUUGGACCUGUGUUAAUCACUCAAUUGGCAAGUAAGUAUUAAUUAGGUUACAGUCCAAACUGCUAUAACAAAGCCAUCCGCCACGCAAGUUUCUUUCUCACAGUACUCUUUCAGGUGUAGCACAGUACUCUUUCAGGGGUAGCACAACUGUCAUCCUCAUCCCUCGGCUUCCAUGUCCACUUCAAGGUAUCUAUGCUAGAUCCUGCCUUCAUAUCUGCAUUCCAGCCACUGAGAAGGGGAAAAGAGCAAGG